RNAcentral lists this long non-coding RNA (1473 nucleotides) under Gopherus agassizii (Agassiz's desert tortoise). RNAcentral's name for it is "lncRNA (ENSGAGG00000011731.1)". The record is from RNAcentral. Lineage: Eukaryota; Metazoa; Chordata; Testudines; Testudinidae.
AUUCAUCUUUGGCAAAGGAACAAAAUUAUCAGUCAAACCCAAUCUCGCAGACUCUGACCCUUCUGUCUACCAACUGAAGUCCCAAGAUGGAAAAUUGUCAGCUUGCCUUAUCACAGACUUCGCCCCUGAGAACAUCUCAGUUGGGAGUUCAGGCAGUGAUCUAACACCAGUCAGUGGUUCCAUUGUGCAGGUGAAAAAUCCAGACAGCAGAAAAAUGGAAGCAAGCUAUGGGACGGUGCUUUGGAGAGAAGAGAAGUCGUUUCACUGCAUCGCUAAACAUAAAAUGGAAACAUUUGAGAUGAGUGACAGUGAUGAAGAAGGUGACACCUGCGGGAUAACAGAGCUGGAUGACAAUUUUGAGACAGACGAGAAGCUGAACCUCCUGUCAUUCACGCUGCUGGGCCUGAGAAUCGUUUUUGUGAAAGGAGUGGCGGUUAACCUGCUGCUGACCAUCUGGCUGUGGAAAAGCUAAAGAGUGGAAGGAAAGAGGACAGAUGGAAUCUGGAGUGAUGGGAAUUCCUCAGAGACCUGGUGUCACCUCUUCACCUUCCCAUGCACCAGGAAAUAUGAUGCAGUGAAUGAUCCUCAUAUCACCUCUGUAUAUAGGCCUGUUGUACAAUCAUCAGAUGUGCUUUCAUUUAGCAAGUUUUAGAAGGAUCUCACCUACCUAGCCUGGUUUUUUCAUGACCCUCAUCCCUUUCACCCUCCACAGACUGACACAUUUAUCCUCACAAGCUCCCAGUGUGAGGCAAGGAAUUGCUAUUAAGUAGAGCUGGUCAACAAAUGUGUGAAAACAUCUUUUGAUGGAAAAUUAGGGUUUCAAUUUAUUUUGGCAGAAAGUCCCCAUUUUCCUAGGGAAAAAAACUUCAAAUUUUCAUCAAAAACUCAAAAUGUUUGGCUAAAAAGUGAAUAUUUUGCAGUUUUUGGGGUUGUUUUUUUUUAGUUUUUGACCACAAGAUUUUUCAGUUUUUAGUUGUCAAACCACCAAAAACAACUUUUUUAAACAGUUUUUUCCAGUGCAAAUUUCAACAAAAAGUGAAAAAUUUUUUAGAGUUGAUUGAAAUUUUCUGCAGAUCAAACCAGCUUUACCAUUAACCCUAUUUUGAAAAGGGGAAAUUGAAGCACAGAGAAUGAGGCUGAGAUUUUCAAAGCCACCUAAGGGCUUUGGGCUCCUGCUUCUCUUGGAAAUCAAUGGAAAUUGUGCAUUAAAAUCCUCUAGGUUGAAUUUUACACUCUCUGCCACACACUGGGAUUUUCAAAGCAGCCUAGAGGAAUGAGGCAUCCAUCUCCACUUGAAAUUCAAUAGCAUUUAGGCAGCUAGUGCCUUUGAAAAUCCAGCCAACACAUUUCUGAUAGUGGUGGGUUCUUUAAAGCAGACGCGUGGAAGUUGAUGCUAGACAAAUUCAGCCUUUCACUAAAGUGCAAAUUAACAAUCGGGUAAUUAACCAUUGGAUGGUCUUAACUAGGCGUGUG